UGUUGUUCUCGCACGCGCGCGCGCACGUACGCAUGUAACCGCCAAUUGCAAUAUUUGAAAAAAGAACCCGAUCAACCACUGUUUUGCUGUUCAGAAGUCCGUCUAUAAUUCAUCAUAAACUAAAGGAACACAGGUCAGAUUCGGACAACGACUUCAAAUUAAUUCGCAGAAUACGCUAAACAAUUGGACGACGGAUACACUGGAUGAUAAUGUAGAUGGUCCAGGAUUAUCUGGGAAGGAAACUACAGAACACAGAAAACCGUUUACAAGAAAACAACUGGAGUUUGUGAAAGCUGCAAGAAAUUAAUCUUGCCGGGUACGCAUUCACUUCACCUUGGUCGAGUGCAGCACAGUGGAUGAAUGUGUUGCUGAAGGAAAACACCAUUGCUAGGAUUCAAACCCACGACACUCUGUUGAAAGGUGAGAGUCAGAACCACUAGACCACGACGCACCCACAGUUAACAAGCUGAUGUCAUACUCCCACUUGUUCUUUUGUAUUUUAUAACAAGAAGUCAUGUUUAUUCACAUUUUGACUUCCAAGAACUAAAAAGUGGAGUGAAGAUUUAUUUAAUGUAAACACAUGCAUUGCUUGAAAUCAUUUUAUGCUACGUGGGACAUAUCAUACACACGCGUACGAAAAUAUGAAAUUAUUAUGAUUUCAUUUUAUAACAUAAGCCUAACACAUAUUCCUGACGAUCAUGUGCACAUUCCAGUAAUUUUUCCCAAAAUGUUGCUAAACCUUCGAAUCAAAGACUUUGUUAUCAGAUUUUAACGAAAUUGUCAACAUUAUGCUUUUCUGAUUAAUUCUCUUCCUACCUAAAUCUUCCCUUUCCUCAUGCUUUCUUUCUUUGGACCCUUCAUUCUCCUUAUAACUAUGUUAUAUGUAAAAUGUAACCGGUCGUCCAACCCAUUUGAUUGAAGGGCUAGGUACUCUAGACUGAAAGUUAUGUGAUUUAAAUUCAAAGAGUACAUCAGACAAAAAAAAAACACUGAAAAUUUCAUCAAAAUUGAAUGA
Lytechinus pictus (painted urchin) is the source of this 1015-nucleotide long non-coding RNA. RefSeq lists it as uncharacterized. The transcript has 3 exons. Lineage: Eukaryota; Metazoa; Echinodermata; Echinoidea; Temnopleuroida; Toxopneustidae. The record is from RefSeq and is a predicted model, not a curated record.